Molecule: long non-coding RNA, 392 nt
Organism: Ornithorhynchus anatinus (platypus)
Lineage: Eukaryota; Metazoa; Chordata; Mammalia; Monotremata; Ornithorhynchidae
Exons: 3
Source: RefSeq, a predicted model, not a curated record
ACUCCACUUGAAACUACUUGCCAGAAAAUGACUCCUAGGAAGAGAGACCUCCAACCCUGCCUCAGACUUUGGAUGAGAGUCGUCGGCUGCCGUACAGAAACCGCUAUAACUCCCUGAAAUCUGCAAAUACUUGCUCAAGAACAGAGAUAAAGGAUUGGAAGAUUUCCAAAGCACACCGCUUUCAUCCAGAAAGGAAAGAAGGUCCUGGGUACUUUAACAAAUAAGCACUAGUAAUUGUCAGCGUCUUUCCUCCUGCAAUAGACCACACUUCUGACCAUAGAGCUGAAUGCGUUUUCAAAAUAGAAGUUCUCAGAAGAGCAAGGGGAAACGGACCAAAGGAUGAAAGUUCUUCCAGCACAGGGUGUUAAGCUUUCUCAUCUGUCCCUUCUGCA